RNAcentral lists this non-coding RNA (185 nucleotides) under Mesobacillus campisalis. Its description in RNAcentral is "Bacillus campisalis Bacterial large subunit ribosomal RNA". It matches the Rfam family "Bacterial large subunit ribosomal RNA", at positions 2742 to 2925 of the family's 2925-position model. Lineage: Bacteria; Bacillati; Bacillota; Bacilli; Caryophanales; Bacillaceae. The record is from Rfam by way of RNAcentral.
UGGGUAGCUAUGUGCGGACGGGAUAAGUGCUGAAAGCAUCUAAGCAUGAAGCCCCCCUCAAGAUGAGAUUUCCCAUAGCGUCAAGCUAGUAAGAUCCCUGAAAGAUGAUCAGGUUGAUAGGUCAGAGGUGGAAGCGCGGUGACGUGUGGAGCUGACUGAUACUAAUCGAUCGAGGACUUAACCUA